GGGCAGCUGCCUGGUGCGUCAGGCUCUUCGCAUCCCUGGGGCUAUACCCAUUCUCUCGGGAGCUGUCCCUGUCGCGGUCGUGGCCGUGGCACAUGGCACCCACCUGCUUGGCAGGCCACAGAGGAUGGACUACGCCAACGGCCAAGGCGGCUGCACU
RNAcentral lists this non-coding RNA (157 nucleotides) under Alphaproteobacteria bacterium. Its description in RNAcentral is "6S RNA". It matches the Rfam family "6S / SsrS RNA". From Rfam's summary of the family: E. coli 6S RNA was the first non coding RNA to be sequenced, but its function was unknown until recently. It consists of 184 nucleotides that fold into an extended hairpin structure with a large single-stranded internal bulge. The record is from RNAcentral. Lineage: Bacteria; Pseudomonadati; Pseudomonadota; Alphaproteobacteria.